This 554-nucleotide ribosomal RNA is filed under the name uncultured bacterium. RNAcentral's name for it is "bacterial SSU rRNA". It matches the Rfam family "Bacterial small subunit ribosomal RNA", at positions 472 to 1024 of the family's 1533-position model. The record is from RNAcentral.
ACGGUACCGGCAUAAGAAGCACCGGCUAACUACGUGCCAGCAGCCGCGGUAAUACGUAGGGUGCGAGCGUUAAUCGGAAUUACUGGGCGUAAAGCGUGCGCAGGCGGUUUUUUAAGACAGGCGUGAAAUCCCCGGGCUCAACCUGGGAACUGCGCUUGUGACUGGAAGGCUAGAGUAUGGCAGAGGGGGGUGGAAUUCCACGUGUAGCAGUGAAAUGCGUAGAGAUGUGGAGGAACACCAAUGGCGAAGGCAGCCCCCUGGGCCAAUACUGACGCUCAUGCACGAAAGCGUGGGUAGCAAACAGGAUUAGAUACCCUGGUAGUCCACGCCCUAAACGAUGUCAACUAGGUGUUGGGUGGGUAAAACCAUUUAGUACCGGAGCUAACGCGUGAAGUUGACCGCCUGGGGAGUACGGCCGCAAGGUUAAAACUCAAAGGAAUUGACGGGGACCCGCACAAGCGGUGGAUGAUGUGGAUUAAUUCGAUGCAACGCGAAAAACCUUACCUACCCUUGACAUGUCCAGGAGCCUGAAGAGAUUUGGGUGUGCCCGAAAG